UGGGGAAUUUUGGACAAUGGGCGAAAGCCUGAUCCAGCAAUGCCGCGUGUGUGAAGAAGGCCUUCGGGUUGUAAAGCACUUUUGUCCGGAAAGAAAUCCUUGGCUCUAAUACAGUCGGGGGAUGACGGUACCGGAAGAAUAAGCACCGGCUAACUACGUGCCAGCAGCCGCGGUAAUACGUAGGGUGCAAGCGUUAAUCGGAAUUACUGGGCGUAAAGCGUGCGCAGGCGGUUUGCUAAGACCGAUGUGAAAUCCCCGGGCUCAACCUGGGAACUGCAUUGGUGACUGGCAGGCUAGAGUAUGGCAGAGGGGGGUAGAAUUCCACGUGUAGCAGUGAAAUGCGUAGAGAUGUGGAGGAAUACCGAUGGCGAAGGCAGCCCCCUGGGCCAAUACUGACGCUCAUGCACGAAAGCGUGGGGAGCAAAACAGGAUUAGAUACCCUGGUAGUCCACGCCCUAAACGAUGUCAACUAGUUGUUGGGGAUUCAUUUCCUUAGUAACGUAGCUAACGCGUGAAGUUGACCGCCUGGGGAGUACGGUCGCAAGAUUAAAACUCAAAGGAAUUGACGGGUCAUAGCUG
Molecule: ribosomal RNA, 579 nt
Filed under: uncultured bacterium
Lineage: Bacteria
Description: partial 16S ribosomal RNA
Rfam family: Bacterial small subunit ribosomal RNA
Source: RNAcentral